CGGGCCGCAUUUCGUCCUUUCUUCCUGCGCCAGUCGUGUUGUUUGUGUGUUGUCGUCAUGUACUUCGUCCUCCUCACCUCCACAAUUCGCCGCUCUCGGGACGUUUUCUCCGGUUGCUGCGCCCAAGACUGCGGGAUGCAGAACCUGCCGCGGAGAAGCCGGCCUUCUCCGUCUCGGCGGUGGAGGCCAACAAGGCAGUCACGAUGGCGGCUCGCGUAGUGGUAGUCAGCGGCCUGCAUACCGCGCCCUUUGACGGGUGUUCUGGAUGGAGCCUCCAUGGAGACAGAUGGGAUUGAUGCUGUGCAGCACUAGGGCCUGGUUCUUCUCAAGGCUCUUAAUUGGGGAAGUCAGCCUGUAUGCCUCUGCUCAGUCACUAAGAACCAUGUAACCAGUGAAGAGGUCAUCAUUUAGGAUCUCAUCUAGUUUGUUGGAAAAAAACAAAGAGGACUUCCCUGGAAGCAAGCAAGAAGCCUACACUGACAGUAAAGGAUACAAAGAGAAACCGUGUCUUGAAAAAAAGAAGUGAAAUGCUUUGGGAUUUAACAUGUAAUCGGGUCAAUAAAGACUUUUGAAAGUAUUUUCUCUGUAAUUUAAAAUGAUUAAACAAAAUUCAGUGUCUAAAAGUGAAUGAAUGAUGUUGCCCACUGAACCCAGGACAGCAACUGAAAUCUUCAACCCCUCUUUAGUUGGGAGUCCAUGUCCUAGGGACUGAUUUCUGAGACUACAGAGGUUGAUUUACAUGGCUCUGCGCUCCCCAAAAAGUGUCCCUGUCAGUUGUGUUUAUUUGGUCGUGCUCAAGCUCACUAGAAGCCAGGUGAAAUAGCAAAAGGUAAAGGUUCCAAUAAGACGCUGCCUUGGCCUUAAUUUAAUGUCAAGGUGCCAUGCUAUACUGUAGGCAGAGUAGAUGCACGGUAGCACACAGGGAUCGCCCUGAGCCAGUACUUUCCUACUAACAAGUGUAAUAGACUUAAAAUAUCCAUACCUAUCUUUGCAAAAGUCUUUGACCAGUUAUUCAAUCUGUGGGAGCCAUUCUUAAUU
Molecule: long non-coding RNA, 1038 nt
Organism: Microtus ochrogaster (prairie vole)
Lineage: Eukaryota; Metazoa; Chordata; Mammalia; Rodentia; Cricetidae
Exons: 5
Source: RefSeq, a predicted model, not a curated record